GGAGCGUCCAAAGCAAGAAAUUGCCUUUCCUUCCCCCCUGCAUUUCCAGGGAGGGACAUGGAGAACGAAAUCCCAAGUCUGAGUUUGUUGAAAUUUGUGUUGCAGAUGGUGUCGGUGGAAAUUCAAGCCAGAAGUUUAUCCCAAACGUUUUGAAGCCAGGCUGAUAAUUCACAGGGAUGCAGAUGUUGGAUGAGUGAUUGCACAGGAGCCAAAGAAUCAGACAGACUGUCUGUGGAGCUGUGAUGACAAACAGUGUGUGCAGACCUGGAGGUGAGGCAGCACUUACUGGGACUGGUGUGAGCUGCGUGCCAAGGACAGAGUACUUGGAGCCAUUCUGUUGCCUGUGAAGCUCGUGCUGCUCCGAGAGCCCUGCGCAGCAGAAUGGCUAUUUGGCUACAGAAGCACAGGAGAUCUGCAUGCACGUCAAAGCUCACACAGCAAGGCUGAGAGUCUGCCCUUGCAGCAGAGGCUAAAUCCUGCUCACCUCCAGCAGAACCCUGUGGCCUCUCCCUGCUGGAUGCAGCCGGUAGGUGAGGACUGUUCCCACUUCAGUAAAUCUUCAGCAGCCGCACUUCACUUGUGGGGAAACCUCCCACGAAGGGACUCAGCCCUGCACUGCAGAACUAGAUGGGCCCUUCAGCUGCUUCCCUCUCAGCCGCACAAACCCAAGCUGUGGUUUCCUGCCUAAGCCCAUUCUCCAUCCCAUGAUAGAUGUGUCCUGCAACAUCUGGCAGUCUGUCCCCCUGUAUUUUAAAAGGUCUGGCUUCACCGUGUUGGGGCAUCGGGGCCAGAAUGCCUGAUCAGAGCCAUGAAUAAUGAGGAGUAGACCUCAAAGACACCGACCCUGCAGUAGGACUUGAAGAGCUGUCUGCAGUGGGAAAACUGCCAUCAGGGGACAGCCAGCAAGGGAAGGCUGAUGUCUGUUGUGGAAGACUGCACUCAGGCUUUGCUCAUGUCUCAGGUAUUAAGAUCUGAUUGUGGGUACCUCCAAAUGCAGAGCACUUUUUCCACUGAUUUUAGAGACAUG
Molecule: long non-coding RNA, 1027 nt
Filed under: Gallus gallus (chicken)
Lineage: Eukaryota; Metazoa; Chordata; Aves; Galliformes; Phasianidae
Description: long non-coding RNA NONGGAT005456
Source: RNAcentral